AUGGUUACUGUCAUUUUAGUUAACCAGGUCUUUGUUUUAGUUUCUUUUUCUCCGGUAUACAUGACAUUUAUUAUUCUUUAUGUUCCUUUGCAGUCCCAAAACUGUUACCUUCGCUGGAGCCAAAAAAACAUUGCACUAAGGAAGGGAGGCGGCGGGGACAAGAGCAGACAAGCUCCAUCGGUGGUGUGGAGAGGAGGAGUGUUGACGCUGUGGAGGGGAGAGGAGGGGGUGAUCGUGGCAGGGAGAGGAGGGGAGUGGUCGGGUGACGACGUUGAGCAAAGGGAAGGCGCCAUGGAAACGAUGAUUGUGUGGAGAUAG
This 318-nucleotide ribosomal RNA is filed under the name Triticum aestivum (bread wheat). Its description in RNAcentral is "partial small subunit ribosomal RNA". Lineage: Eukaryota; Viridiplantae; Streptophyta; Magnoliopsida; Poales; Poaceae. The record is from RNAcentral.